GGAUAACUGUAGUAAUUCUAGAGCUAAUACAUGCAAAAAAACCUGGACUUUUACAGAACAGGUGUACUUAUUAGACUUUAAAACCGAUUACAAUUUAUUGUAAAUUUAAAAUGAAUUAAAAUAAGUUUAUGAAUCGCAGAUCAUUUUGUGAUGAUAAGAAUGAAUUUCUGCCCUAUCAACUUUCGAUGGUAAUGUAGUGGAUUACCAUGGUGAUGACGGGUAACGGGGAAUUAGGGUUUGAUUCCGGAGAAAAGGCCUGAGAGACGGCCAUUACUUCUAAGGAAGGCAGCAGGCGCGUAAAUUACCCAAUCCUAAUACGGGGAGGUAGUGACAAGAAAUAUUGAUAUUGGACCCAAAGGGUACAAUGAUUGAAAUGAGAACAAUAUAAAAAAACUUAACGACUAACAAUUGGAGGGCAAGUCUGGUGCCAGCAGCCGCGGUAAUUCCAGCUCCAAGAGUGUAUAUUAAAGUUGUUGCGGUUAAAAAAGCUCGUAGUUGAA
This 500-nucleotide ribosomal RNA is filed under the name uncultured eukaryote. Its description in RNAcentral is "bacterial SSU rRNA". It matches the Rfam family "Eukaryotic small subunit ribosomal RNA", at positions 141 to 638 of the family's 1831-position model. The record is from RNAcentral.